UACGGGGGGUGCGAGCGUUGUCCGGAAUCACUGGGCGUAAAGCGCGCGUAGGCGGCUCUUCAAGUCAGACGUGAAAGCCCCGGGCUUAACUCGGGAACUGCGUUUGAUACUGUCGAGCUAGAGUGUGGAAGGGGCGAUUGGAAUUCCGUGUGUAGCGGUGAAAUGCGUAGAUAUACGGAGGAACACCGGUGGCGAAGGCGGCAUCCUGGACCAAUACUGACACUGAGGAGCGAAAGCCAGGGGAGCAAACGGG
Molecule: ribosomal RNA, 253 nt
Filed under: uncultured bacterium
Lineage: Bacteria
Description: partial 16S ribosomal RNA
Rfam family: Bacterial small subunit ribosomal RNA
Source: RNAcentral